AGUGAACGCUGGCGGUAGGCCUAACACAUGCAAGUCGAACGGCAGCACAGUAAGAGCUUGCUCUUACGGGUGGCGAGUGGCGGACGGGUGAGGAAUACAUCGGAAUCUACUUUUUCGUGGGGGAUAACGUAGGGAAACUUACGCUAAUACCGCAUGCGACCUACGGGUGAAAGCAGGGGAUCUUCGGACCUUGCGCGAUUGAAUGAGCCGAUGUCGGAUUAGCUAGUUGGCGGGGUAAAGGCCCACCAAGGCGACGAUCCGUAGCUGGUCUGAGAGGAUGAUCAGCCACACUGGAACUGAGACACGGUCCAGACUCCUACGGGAGGCAGCAGUGGGGAAUAUUGGACAAUGGGCGCAAGCCUGAUCCAGCCAUACCGCGUGGGUGAAGAAGGCCUUCGGGUUGUAAAGCCCUUUUGUUGGGAAAGAAAAGCAGCAGGUUAAUACCCCGCUGUUCUGACGGUACCCAAAGAAUGAGCACCGGCUAACUUCGUG
This 492-nucleotide ribosomal RNA is filed under the name uncultured bacterium. RNAcentral describes it as "partial 16S ribosomal RNA". It matches the Rfam family "Bacterial small subunit ribosomal RNA", at positions 29 to 507 of the family's 1533-position model. The record is from RNAcentral.